UCAGUGAGUUUAUCUUGUGUUUAUUGCUGCUCAUACAAGCACCGAAAGGCCUUCUACAGCUGCUGUGGGGCGGUGGAUGUCUGCUAUGGCCGAUGAUACCUCAUUUCAGAUGCCCAGCAGGUGUCGUGUGCUGUUGUGAGUGUGAGUUUCACAAAUUUGGCCUAGCGGAGCAUCACUGCAUGCAAGCACAUGACAGCGCCCAGCUGCAGGGGAGACCCAAAGGACAACAGUAUAAAGUGGUGCAUUUGAAAGCAGAGCUCUUUUCACUGCAGCGUCUCGCUUUGCAAACAUGACACCAGAGGCUCGGGACAGAUGCUGCUCCCUCCAGAACUCCGCGCUCAUCAUUUUAGCCAAGUAGCUGUGACCUGGCGCCGACGCCACAAAACAGGACAAGUAAUUUAAUUUGCCACUGCUGCUGACCUUGAAGCAUUGAAUGUAGGCCGACAGAAUCCCAAUAGGAAAUCUGGAAGAAAAACAUCCUGGGAGCUGAAAUAGCGAUCAGGCUGUUCCGCCUGCAGCAUCACACACAGUCUCGUCACCUCUACAGGGAAACUUUUGUCCUUCAGCUUUGCAUGAAGAAUGUUAAUUUACAGGCCUCCGUCUCUCUCGCCUCCAGUCACGGCCAAUCCAGUAGUGAGCAAGAGCCGGCCUCUGGAGAAAGGGUGAUGAUCCCGACUGAGCUUUUCAUUUAACAAGGAGCUGCAAGGAUUUCCAGAGAACUGCACUGUGGAGAUCAGGAUAAGAGAAAAUAGCGUUCCUAGCUGGCAGCAUCGAGUUUCAGUGGAGCCCCAGGUCAUUAAAGAUAACUUGGCACCAUGUCAGGGCCUGGCUGAGUGGAUUGUGUAAACCAGUCACCCACCAAGGUCCUUAGUGUAGUCAGGAAUGCUGCAAUGCCACUUGCAGACUGCAGAGUCCAGGGAGCCCUAAAAAGGAAGGAGUCUCUCUCUGAUUCCCGGCAGCUUGGCGAGCAGCGGAGGCUAAAUUAGGCCUGGUUUCAUUGACUUUCAAUCCCCAGGGUGGCUGCCGCCCUGCAGCCCAGAGGAUGAGAGAUGGGGGGCCUCGGAUGCUUCGUCGGAGCUUCUCCAGACACUGACUGGGAAGGUUGGAGUGUCAGAUGGAGGGACGAUACGGCUCGGAUUGAGAUCGGUUGCAUCUUCUGUUAACAUUCUAAGUUAACGGAAAAGAAACACGGAUAACAUGGAAGGUUCUGUGAUGUUUUUCAUUUUGAAACCAAAAAUCAUAAACUUGAGUUAUAACAUAUUGUGUUGCUUGUGUACAAUAAGUACAAUAAGUAUAUGUGUUUUGGGAUAAAAUCUGCUAUGUUACUGCUCCUCCGUGCACAUCCACAGAGACAGGUGAAGAAAACAGUCAGCUUUGAGGAGCUCGAAAAGGUUAGUUGUCCUCGAGUAGAAGCCUGUAUUUGAGUGUGUAUUUUAUUUUAUUCCUCGUACACUGUUGUCUUGUCGUCCAUUGUCGUACUGUCUGCUGUUAUGCACCAACCGCCAAGUCAAAUUCCUUGUAUGUCUGACAUAUUAUGGCAAUAAAUGUUUCCUGAUUCCUGAAAGACACCACACGUGUCCAUGUCAGCUUGUGUCUG
This is a non-coding RNA of Gasterosteus aculeatus aculeatus (three-spined stickleback), 1597 nucleotides long. The record is from RefSeq and is a predicted model, not a curated record. Lineage: Eukaryota; Metazoa; Chordata; Actinopteri; Perciformes; Gasterosteidae.